RNAcentral lists this ribosomal RNA (695 nucleotides) under uncultured bacterium. Its description in RNAcentral is "bacterial SSU rRNA". It matches the Rfam family "Bacterial small subunit ribosomal RNA", at positions 114 to 823 of the family's 1533-position model. The record is from RNAcentral.
CGCGUGAGUAACCUGCCUUGGAGUGGGGAAUAACAGCUGGAAACAGCUGCUAAUACCGCAUAAUAUGUCUGUGUCGCAUGGCACUGGACAUCAAAGAUUUAUCGCUCUGAGAUGGACUCGCGUCUGAUUAGCUAGUUGGCGGGGUAACGGCCCACCAAGGCGACGAUCAGUAGCCGGACUGAGAGGUUGGCCGGCCACAUUGGGACUGAGACACGGCCCAGACUCCUACGGGAGGCAGCAGUGGGGAAUAUUGGGCAAUGGGCGCAAGCCUGACCCAGCAACGCCGCGUGAAGGAAGAAGGCUUUCGGGUUGUAAACUUCUUUUCUCAGGGACGAAGCAAGUGACGGUACCUGAGGAAUAAGCCACGGCUAACUACGUGCCAGCAGCCGCGGUAAUACGUAGGUGGCAAGCGUUAUCCGGAUUUACUGGGUGUAAAGGGCGUGUAGGCGGGACUGCAAGUCAGAUGUGAAAACCACGGGCUCAACCUGUGGCCUGCAUUUGAAACUGUAGUUCUUGAAUACUGGAGAGGCAGACGGAAUUCCUAGUGUAGCGGUGAAAUGCGUAGAUAUUAGGAGGAACACCAGUGGCGAAGGCGGUCUGCUGGACAGCAACUGACGCUGAGGCGCGAAAGCGUGGGGAGCAAACAGGAUUAGAUACCCUGAUAGUCCACGCUGUAAACGAUGGAUACUAGGUGU